Molecule: transfer RNA, 72 nt
Filed under: Bos taurus (domestic cattle)
Lineage: Eukaryota; Metazoa; Chordata; Mammalia; Artiodactyla; Bovidae
Also listed under: 2 other names
Rfam family: tRNA
About the family: Transfer RNA (tRNA) molecules are approximately 80 nucleotides in length.
Source: Rfam by way of RNAcentral
UCCCUGGUGGCCUAGUGGUUAGGAUUCAGCACUUCCGCUGCUGUGGCCGGGUUUCAAUCCCUGGUCGGGGAA